RNAcentral lists this ribosomal RNA (427 nucleotides) under uncultured bacterium. RNAcentral describes it as "bacterial SSU rRNA". It matches the Rfam family "Bacterial small subunit ribosomal RNA", at positions 917 to 1344 of the family's 1533-position model. The record is from RNAcentral.
GGGCCCGCACAAGCGGUGGAGUAUGUGGUUUAAUUCGAUGCAACGCGAAGAACCUUACCAGGGUUUGACAUCCUGCGAAUCUCUUGGAAACAGGAGAGUGCCUUCGGGAACGCAGUGACAGGUGGUGCAUGGCUGUCGUCAGCUCGUGUCGUGAGAUGUUGGGUUAAGUCCCGCAACGAGCGCAACCCACGUCUUUAGUUGCCAGCAUUUAGUUGGGCACUCUGAAAGAACUGCCAGUGAUAAGCUGGAGGAAGGUGGGGAUGACGUCAAGUCCUCAUGGCCCUUACGACCAGGGCUACACACGUGCUACAAUGGUAGGUACAGAGGGCAGCUACACAGCGAUGUGAUGCGAAUCUCAAAAAGCCUAAUCGUAGUCCAGAUUGGAGUCUGCAACUCGACUCCAUGAAGUAGGAAUCGCUAGUAAUCG